GAUGAACGCUAGCUACAGGCUUAACACAUGCAAGUCGAGGGGCAGCAUGAACUUAGCUUGCUAAGUUUGAUGGCGACCGGCGCACGGGUGAGUAACACGUAUCCAACCUGCCGAUGACUCGGGGAUAGCCUUUCGAAAGAAAGAUUAAUACCCGAUGGCAUAGUUCUUCCGCAUGGUAGAACUAUUAAAGAAUUUCGGUCAUCGAUGGGGAUGCGUUCCAUUAGCUUGUUGGCGGGGUAACGGCCCACCAAGGCAGCGAUGGAUAGGGGUUCUGAGAGGAAGGUCCCCCACAUUGGAACUGAGACACGGCCCAG
RNAcentral lists this ribosomal RNA (314 nucleotides) under uncultured bacterium. Its description in RNAcentral is "bacterial SSU rRNA". It matches the Rfam family "Bacterial small subunit ribosomal RNA", at positions 28 to 334 of the family's 1533-position model. The record is from RNAcentral.